This is an RNA transcript of Acipenser ruthenus (sterlet), 1144 nucleotides long. It is a transcript of the gene named TBC1 domain family member 2A-like, with no coding region annotated. The record is from RefSeq and is a predicted model, not a curated record. Lineage: Eukaryota; Metazoa; Chordata; Actinopteri; Acipenseriformes; Acipenseridae. The transcript has 4 exons.
AUGUUACCAACAUCCUUGUUUAACUUUCUGUUCCUUCCCAUUGAGUACGACGACUAUGGAUUCAAGACCAUUCCUGAUUAUGAAGUAGAGGACGUGAAGCUCCUGGCCAAAAUCCAGGCCCUGGAGAUCCGUUCCAACAACCUGCGCAACAAUGAGAUGGUGGACAAGCCCUUGCGGACCAGGUGGGCUAACUACCUGGCCAGCCGUCCCUUGGACCAGCUGGCUCCCUCCCCGGAGCUGAAGGGCCUGAUCCGGUGUGGGAUCCCUGUGGAGUACCGGGAGCAGGUGUGGCGCUGGAUCGUGAGGACACGGAUGCAGGUCUAUAGGAAGCGGAAUCCCAAUCGCUACCAGGAGCUGAGGAAGCACUGCGAGGUGUCGGAGCACCCGGCCUCACGGCAGAUCAGGCAGGACCUGCACCGCACCCUCACCAGCAAUAAGCACUUCUCCUCGCCCACCUCCGACGCAGUCCAAAAGCUGCAGCGCAUUCUGCUAGCCUUCUCCUGGCAAAACCCCACCAUCGGCUACUGCCAGGGUCUCAACCGGUUGGCAGCUAUUGCACUUUUAGUUCUGAAGGAUGAAGAGGAUGCCUUCUGGUGUCUGGUGGCUAUUGUUGAAAUCAUAAUGCCACAAGACUACUACAGCAAAACCCUCACUGCCUCUCAGGUAAAAUAUAUCACAGCCAUAAAUAUAGAAUGAUCCCACAGUUAUGAAGUCUUCAGAAACCGGAAAAGGUAAUGGGAUACCUGAUACCGGAUGUCAGGGUAGCGGGACACUCUGAACUCCACACAUAAACCUGACGAAUUGACGAUACCCCCUGGCGACUUGGAGGGGCAAAUACUUCUCGUAAUAGUGGUUCUGUCCUGGGGAUAUGUCAUCUACGCAACAAGAAUCGCAGCAAAAUGGCAACUGGAAAAAACAUUCAAGACCACAAACUGAUCCCUCGAUUUGGAACUGAAUAUAAACACGAAUGAAACUAGAAACAUCUGAAACUUGUGUCAGAAACUCAAUGUUUAAAAAAAAAAAAAGUGAUUUUACAUUUGAUGCUCAACUGACCCUUUUUCAUUAAAUAUGGUUUAAUCAAAAUAUAUAUGGAAAAGGGUAUUUUAAAUAUUGCGCAUGUAAAAUAAAACUAUUUUUAAAGUAA